This 253-nucleotide ribosomal RNA is filed under the name uncultured bacterium. RNAcentral describes it as "partial 16S ribosomal RNA". It matches the Rfam family "Bacterial small subunit ribosomal RNA", at positions 524 to 776 of the family's 1533-position model. The record is from RNAcentral.
UACGUAGGGCGCAAGCGUUGUUCGGAUUCAUUGGGCGUAAAGGGUGCGUAGGCGGCGCGGUAAGUCGGGUGUGAAAGUCACAGGCUCAACCUGUGAAUGCCGCUGGAAACUGUCUGGCUAGAGUCCGGAAGGGGCGAGUGGAAUUCCUGGUGUAGCGGUGAAAUGCGCAGAUAUCAGGAGGAACACCUAUGGCGAAGGCAGCUCGCUGGGACGGUACUGACGCUGAGGAGCGAAAGCGUGGGGAGCGAACAGG